RNAcentral lists this ribosomal RNA (689 nucleotides) under uncultured beta proteobacterium. Its description in RNAcentral is "bacterial SSU rRNA". It matches the Rfam family "Bacterial small subunit ribosomal RNA", at positions 91 to 774 of the family's 1533-position model. The record is from RNAcentral. Lineage: Bacteria; Pseudomonadati; Pseudomonadota; Betaproteobacteria.
ACGAGUGGCGAACGGGUGAGUAAUACAUCGGAACGUGUCCGCUCGUGGGGGACAACCAGCCGAAAGGUUGGCUAAUACCGCAUGAGUUCUACGGAAGAAAGAGGGGGACCCGCAAGGGCCUCUCGCGAGCGGAGCGGCCGAUGACUGAUUAGCCAGUUGGUGAGGUAACGGCUCACCAAAGCAACGAUCAGUAGCUGGUCUGAGAGGACGACCAGCCACACUGGGACUGAGACACGGCCCAGACUCCUACGGGAGGCAGCAGUGGGGAAUUUUGGACAAUGGGCGCAAGCCUGAUCCAGCUAUUCCGCGUGUGGGAUGAAGGCCCUCGGGUUGUAAACCACUUUUGUAGAGAACGAAAAGACAUCUUCGAAUAAAGGAUGUUGCUGACGGUACUCUAAGAAUAAGCACCGGCUAACUACGUGCCAGCAGCCGCGGUAAUACGUAGGGUGCGAGCGUUAAUCGGAAUUACUGGGCGUAAAGGGUGCGCAGGCGGUUGAGUAAGACAGAUGUGAAAUCCCCGAGCUUAACUCGGGAAUGGCAUAUGUGACUGCUCGACUAGAGUGUGUCAGAGGGAGGUGGAAUUCCACGUGUAGCAGUGAAAUGCGUAGAUAUGUGGAAGAACACCGAUGGCGAAGGCAGCCUCCUGGGACAUAACUGACGCUCAGGCACGAAAGCGUGGGGAGCAAACA